GGGGAUGUAGCUCAGUGGUAGAGCGCACGCUUUGCAUGUGUGAGGCCCCGGGUUCGAUCUCCGGCAUCUCCA
Molecule: non-coding RNA, 72 nt
Organism: Ciona savignyi (Pacific transparent sea squirt)
Lineage: Eukaryota; Metazoa; Chordata; Ascidiacea; Phlebobranchia; Cionidae
Source: Rfam